CGUUGAUGAAAGUCCCCUGAGUCAUUCUGUUUCAGUCAGCCAUUUUGUACGACGCGGCUGAAGUUGGUUGUUGUCUCUGUGUUAGUCGUCUAAAGAAAACCGUUUUAGAUUAAUUCAUACGUCGCCAACAAUCGCCUAUUAGCUGAAAAAAAUGGAGAACGAAGGUCAAAUUGACUUCAGCACGGAUGAAUUUCCCGAGGGGUCCAAAAUAAAUGCAAGCAAAAAUCUACAGGACGAUGGCAAAAUGUUCAUUGGUGGCCUCAGCUGGGAUACCAGCAAGAAAGAUCUCACAGAUUACCUGUCAAAGUUUGGAGAGGUCCUGGAUUGUACCAUCAAAACAGACCCCAUUACGGGACGGUCCCGGGGCUUUGGGUUCGUCCUCUUCAAAGAUGCAGACAGCGUGGAGAGGGUGUUGGAGCUGAAAGAACAUAAAUUGGAUGGGAAGCUUAUUGAUCCUAAGAGAGCCAAAGCAAUGAAGGGCAAGGAGCCUCCUAAGAAAGUGUUUGUUGGAGGGCUGAGCCCAGAGACCUCGGAGGACCAGAUCCGAGAUUACUUUGGCACAUUUGGAGAUAUCGACAGCAUUGAACUGCCAAUGGACACCAAAACCAAUGAGAGGAGGGGUUUCUGUUUUGUGACAUACUUGGAGGAGGAACCUGUCCAGAAACUUCUGGAGAAUCGUUACCAUCAAGUUGGGUCUGGAAAGUGUGAAAUCAAAGUUGCCCAGCCCAAAGAAGUUUACAGACAACAGCAGCAACACAGAGGGGACAGGGGUAACUACGGAGGAAGAGGGGGAUCCAGAGGGCGUGGCAGAGGUCAAAGUAACAGCUACGGUCAGGGCUACAACAACUACUAUGGCCAGAAUUAUGGUGGUUAUGGGAAUGGAUACAACACAGGAUACAAUGGCUACCCUGGCUAUGAUUAUUCUACUAACUACAACUACAAUACCUAUGGCUAUGGACAGAGCUACGACGACUACAAUGGCCAGCAAAGCAGUUAUGGCAAAGCUUCACGGGAAGGUGGAAACCACCAGAACAACUACCAGCCAUACUGAUCAGAAAUCUAGACCUGCUGAAAUAAUUUUGUGAGGACUUCAUUGCAGGCCGUGUGUCACCUGACCACGACAUUCUCUGGGCGUCGCACAUAGCGGGCAGAGAGCACGGCAUGCACAAGAAAACGCUGUCCUGUGAUGGGCAGGUCGACUGAGAGUUCAACUGUGUACCCUGGUGGCAGCUCGGGGAUUCUUGUCCUUUUUUAAUCAAAUCAUUCUUUUAAGCUUUAUUUUGUUAUCUACAGAAGUUGUUGACACGCCAUGUGCCCAACUGUAAAUAGGGAGAUGUUCCUGAAUUUUUUUUCAUUGUGCUUUGCGUAUAUGGGUGUUGUGAUCUGUCAUUCUGUUCUGGAUUGUUUCUUUUUGUUUUGUGUUUUUUUUUUUUUUUUUUCCUUCCAGUU
RNA transcript from Anguilla anguilla (European eel), 1449 nucleotides. It is a transcript of the gene named heterogeneous nuclear ribonucleoprotein D-like, with no coding region annotated. NCBI's taxonomy places the organism in Eukaryota, Metazoa, Chordata, Actinopteri, Anguilliformes, Anguillidae. The record is from RefSeq and is a predicted model, not a curated record. The transcript is spliced from 9 exons.